CGUAGGUGAACCUGCGGAAGGAUCAUUACCGAGCGAUGGGGGUUCCUUCGCGGGCCCUCAGCAACUCACCAUCCUGUGAUGAACGACGAAAACGACUGCUUCGGCGGGUAACCCCGCCGGCAGUACCCCUCCAACUCGCUAUUUCUGUGUUGUCUGAGCGUAUAUAUAAAUAGUCGAAAAACUUUCAACAACGGAUCUCUUGGUUCUGGCAUCGAUGAAGAACGCAGCGAAAUGCGAUAAGUAAUGCGAAUUGCAGAAUUCAGUGAGUCAUCGAAUCUUUGAACGCACAUUGCGCCCUCUGGCAUUCCGGGGGGCAUGCCUGUCCGAGCGUCGUUUCCAUUGCCCACUCUGGGCUGACUACGAGCCUCUGUGCUCGACGAUGGGUCACGUCGCUUCCGGGCGACGGGCCCCAAAAUGAGGGUAUAGGUGUCGAACCUUCAACCGCAGUAGAAAACAUUCCGGUUUGGAAGGGUUGGCGCUGGUGCCAGAUCUCUUUGAGAUAGCGUAGCUCAGCGAUGUCACGCCGGCGGAGUGCCCGUCAGCACCCCAGAAUUCGACCUCGGAUCAGGUAGGGAUACCCGCUGAA
Molecule: ribosomal RNA, 586 nt
Filed under: Pertusaria quartans
Lineage: Eukaryota; Fungi; Ascomycota; Lecanoromycetes; Pertusariales; Pertusariaceae
Description: eukaryotic LSU rRNA
Rfam family: 5.8S ribosomal RNA (bases 180-333)
Source: RNAcentral